Molecule: ribosomal RNA, 1759 nt
Filed under: Veillonella sp.
Lineage: Bacteria; Bacillati; Bacillota; Negativicutes; Veillonellales; Veillonellaceae
Description: partial 23S ribosomal RNA
Rfam family: Bacterial large subunit ribosomal RNA
Source: RNAcentral
GGGACUGUAUCCAGAGUACCACGAGACACGUGAAACCUUGUGGGAAGCAGGGGGGACCACCCUCCAAGCCAAAAUACUGAUAUCGACCGAUAGCGCAUAGUACCGUGAGGGAAAGGUGAAAAGAACCCCUGGCGGGGAGUGAAAGAGAACCUGAAACCGUAUGUCUACAAACAGUCGAAGUCUGUAUAUAUAUCAGGACGACGGCGUGCCUAUUGAAGAAUGAACCGACGAGUUACUGUUGCUAGCGAGGUUAAGUGGAAAACAUGGAGCCGCAGCGAAAGCGAGUCUGAACAGGGCGUUCAGUUAGUAAUAGUAGACCCGAAACCGUAGUGAUCUAUCCAUGGCCAGGUUGAAGCACAGGUAAAAUUGUGUGGAGGACCGAACUCGUGAGCGUUGAAAAGCUUUGGGAUGAGUUGUGGAUAGGGGUGAAAUGCCAAUCGAACACGGAGAUAGCUGGUUCUCCCCGAAAUAGCUUUAGGGCUAGCCUCGAGGUUGAGAGUAUAGGCGGUAGAGCACUGAUCGGGCUAGGGGCCAUACCGGUUACCGAACCUAGUCAAACUACGAAUGGCUAUACUUAUACUCGGGAGUCAGACAGUGAAUGAUAAGGUCCAUUGUCAAGAGGGAAACAGCCCAGAACACCGACUAAGGUCCCAAAUGUUACACUAAGUGGCGAAGGAUGUGGAAUUUCCAAAACAACCAGGAUGUUGGCUUAGAAGCAGCCACCAUUUAAAGAGUGCGUAAUAGCUCACUGGUCGAGAGACUCUGCGCCGAAAAUGUCCGGGGCUAAAGUGUAAAACCGAAGUCGUGUCAUAUGCAGCAAUGUAUAUGGGUAGGGGAGCGUUCUCAUCGGGCUGAAGCAGUACCGUAAGGAGUUGUGGACUGAUGAGAAGUGAGAAUGUCGGUAUGAGUAGCGAAAAGAAUGGUGAGAAUCCAUUCCACCGAAAGCCUAAGGGUUCCUGAGCAACGAUCGUCGUCUCAGGGUAAGUCGGGACCUAAGCCGAGGCGGAAAAGCGUAGGCGAUGGACAACAGGUUGAAAUUCCGAAGUGAUUGAUCCUACACUGUCGAGAAAAGCUUCUAGGUAGAGACACAUCGCCCGUACCAAAACCGACACAGGUAGGCGGGGAGAGAAUCCUAAGGUGCGCGGGAAAACCCUCGUUAAGGAACUCGGCAAAAUGCCUCCGUAACUUCGGGAAAAGGAGGACUCAUGUAGUGUGAAGCGCAGCAACGCCUGGAGCAUGAAUGAGUGGCACAAGAGAGGCGCAAGCGACUGUUUACCACAAACACAGGUGCCUGCUAAAGCGAAAGCUGAUGUAUAGGUGCUGACACCUGCCCGGUGCUGGAAGGUUAAGAGGAGGGGUUAGACUUCGGUCGAAGCUCUGAAUUGAAGCCCCAGUAAACGGCGGCCGUAACUAUAACGGUCCUAAGGUAGCGAAAUUCCUUGUCGGGUAAGUUCCGACCCGCACGAAAGGUGUAACGACUUGCGCACUGUCUCAACGAGGGACCCGGUGAAAUUGAAGUACCUGUGAAGAUGCAGGUUACCCGCGACUGGACAGAAAGACCCCAUGGAGCUUUACUGCAACCUAAGAUUGAACUUAGUUAAUGAAUGUACAGGAUAGGUGGGAGACAUAGAAUCUAGGACGCCAGUUUUAGAGGAGUCGUUGUUGGGAUACCACCCUUUCAUUAAUUGAUUUCUAACGGGCCGAGUAACGACCGGCCGGACAGUCUUAGGCGGGCAGUUUGACUGGGGCGGUCGCCUCC